UUGACCUCGGAUCAGGUAGGAAUACCCAGCUGAACUUAAGCAUAUCAAUAA
Molecule: ribosomal RNA, 51 nt
Filed under: Trichoderma aureoviride
Lineage: Eukaryota; Fungi; Ascomycota; Sordariomycetes; Hypocreales; Hypocreaceae
Description: partial 25S ribosomal RNA
Source: RNAcentral